GACGAACGCUGGCGGCGUGCUUAACACAUGCAAGUCGAACGGAAAGGCCCUGCUUUUGUGGGGUGCUCGAGUGGCGAACGGGUGAGUAACACGUGAGUAACCUGCCCUUGACUUUGGGAUAACUUCAGGAAACUGGGGCUAAUACCGGAUAGGAGCUCCUGCUGCAUGGUGGGGGUUGGAAAGUUUCGGCGGUUGGGGAUGGACUCGCGGCUUAUCAGCUUGUUGGUGGGGUAGUGGCUUACCAAGGCUUUGACGGGUAGCCGGCCUGGGAGGGUGACCGGCCACAUUGGGACUGAGAUACGGCCCAGACUCCUACGGGAGGCAGCAGUGGGGAAUAUUGCACAAUGGGCGGAAGCCUGAUGCGGCAACGCCGCGUGCGGGAUGACGGCCUUCGGGUUGUCAACCGCUUUCGCCUGUGACGAAGCGUGAGUGACGGUAAUGGGUAAAGAAGCACCGGCUAACUACGUG
Molecule: ribosomal RNA, 468 nt
Filed under: uncultured bacterium
Lineage: Bacteria
Description: partial 16S ribosomal RNA
Rfam family: Bacterial small subunit ribosomal RNA
Source: RNAcentral